UUUAUCGGAGAGUUUGAUCCUGGCUCAGGACGAACGCUGGCGGCGUGCCUAAUACAUGCAAGUCGAGCGGACAGAUGGGAGCUUGCUCCCUGAUGUUAGCGGCGGACGGGUGAGUAACACGUGGGUAACCUGCCUGUAAGACUGGGAUAACUCCGGGAAACCGGGGCUAAUACCGGAUGGUUGUUUGAACCGCAUGGUUCAAACAUAAAAGGUGGCUUCGGCUACCACUUACAGAUGGACCCGCGGCGCAUUAGCUAGUUGGUGAGGUAAUGGCUCACCAAGGCAACGAUGCGUAGCCGACCUGAGAGGGUGAUCGGCCACACUGGGACUGAGACACGGCCCAGACUCCUACGGGAGGCAGCAGUAGGGAAUCUUCCGCAAUGGACGAAAGUCUGACGGAGCAACGCCGC
This 410-nucleotide ribosomal RNA is filed under the name Bacillus subtilis subsp. subtilis. RNAcentral's name for it is "bacterial SSU rRNA". It matches the Rfam family "Bacterial small subunit ribosomal RNA", at positions 1 to 400 of the family's 1533-position model. Lineage: Bacteria; Bacillati; Bacillota; Bacilli; Caryophanales; Bacillaceae. The record is from RNAcentral.